This 760-nucleotide ribosomal RNA is filed under the name uncultured Enterobacteriaceae bacterium. Its description in RNAcentral is "bacterial SSU rRNA". It matches the Rfam family "Bacterial small subunit ribosomal RNA", at positions 28 to 776 of the family's 1533-position model. The record is from RNAcentral. Lineage: Bacteria; Pseudomonadati; Pseudomonadota; Gammaproteobacteria; Enterobacterales; Enterobacteriaceae.
AUUGAACGCUGGCGGCAGGCCUAAACACAUGCAAGUCGAACGGUAACAGGAAGCAGCUUGCUGCUUUGCUGACGAGUGGCGGACGGGUGAGUAAUGUCUGGGAAACUGCCUGAUGGAGGGGGAUAACUACUGGAAACGGUAGCUAAUACCGCAUAACGUCGCAAGACCAAAGAGGGGGACCUUCGGGCCUCUUGCCAUCGGAUGUGCCCAGAUGGGAUUAGCUAGUAGGUGGGGUAACGGCUCACCUAGGCGACGAUCCCUAGCUGGUCUGAGAGGAUGACCAGCCACACUGGAACUGAGACACGGUCCAGACUCCUACGGGAGGCAGCAGUGGGGAAUAUUGCACAAUGGGCGCAAGCCUGAUGCAGCCAUGCCGCGUGUAUGAAGAAGGCCUUCGGGUUGUAAAGUACUUUCAGCGGGGAGGAAGGGAGUAAAGUUAAUACCUUUGCUCAUUGACGUUACCCGCAGAAGAAGCACCGGCUAACUCCGUGCCAGCAGCCGCGGUAAUACGGAGGGUGCAAGCGUUAAUCGGAAUUACUGGGCGUAAAGCGCACGCAGGCGGUUUGUUAAGUCAGAUGUGAAAUCCCCGGGCUCAACCUGGGAACUGCAUCUGAUACUGGCAAGCUUGAGUCUCGUAGAGGGGGGUAGAAUUCCAGGUGUAGCGGUGAAAUGCGUAGAGAUCUGGAGGAAUACCGGUGGCGAAGGCGGCCCCCUGGACGAAGACUGACGCUCAGGUGCGAAAGCGUGGGGAGCAAACAGG